UCCACGCUGUAAACGUUGGGCACUAGGUGUGGCGACCCGAUCAACGGUUGCCGUGCCGAAGCUAACGCAUUAAGUGCCCCGCCUGGGGAGUACGGCCGCAAGGCUAAAACUCAAAGGAAUUGACGGGUCCCCGCACAAGCGGCGGAGCAUGCGGCUUAAUUCGAUGCGACCCGAAGAACCUUACCUGGGUUUGACAUCAUGGGAAAAGCCGUAGAGAUACGGUGUCCGAAAGGGCCCAUGACAGGUGGUGCAUGGCUGUCGUCAGCUCGUGUCGUGAGAUGUUGGGUUAAGUCCCGCAACGAGCGCAACCCUUGUCUUAUGUUACCAGCGAUUCGGUCGGGGACUCAUGGGAGACUGCCGGUGACAAAUCGGAGGAAGGUGGGGAUGACGUAGACCUUGG
This 400-nucleotide unclassified non-coding RNA is filed under the name uncultured Acidimicrobiia bacterium. RNAcentral describes it as "contains 16S-23S intergenic spacer region". It matches the Rfam family "Bacterial small subunit ribosomal RNA", at positions 794 to 1194 of the family's 1533-position model. The record is from RNAcentral. Lineage: Bacteria; Bacillati; Actinomycetota; Acidimicrobiia.